RNAcentral lists this small RNA (1154 nucleotides) under Drosophila pseudoobscura pseudoobscura. RNAcentral describes it as "GA32436". Lineage: Eukaryota; Metazoa; Arthropoda; Insecta; Diptera; Drosophilidae. The record is from RNAcentral.
UGUAAUAAAAAUAUUAACAGUAAGCAUUAACUUAACAUUUGACUAACAGAAUACUGUUGAAUAACAUUUAAUGUUAACACCGCCUUUCUAUGCGAUUCUCAUGGGUUGCAGGUUCAAUGAUCUAUCCAUUUUACGAUAAUCGUAUCGAAAGUAGACCUACAAAUUAAGAAGACUAUACCAAAAAUAGGCAGAACAAUCCAAUGCCAAUCAAUCAAAGCCACUAUAAAUCACAUGUUUUUAAGGCCCUGGAAAUAACACCUCAAGAGCUCAAAGAUCUAUCGAUUAUACGAUACCCGUAUCUUGAGCAGAUCUGGAAAAUUAAUAAAAGAAUGCGAAGGAAUUCAUAAAGCCACAAAGCAUCAUCAAUUUUUUAAAUAACAUUAGCGAUGAAAGCUCAAAAAGUUCGCCAAUCUAUCGAUACCCUUCGAUAGCAAAUCUGAAAGAAACCAAGAAAAAACACAUAUUUUUUGUUUUAAUUUUUAUGAGGAGAAUUUUUGUUUGUCUCACUCGAGUUUUUUAUUUCAAUAGUAUUAAAGUAUCGUAUUAUAUAUGUUGCUUUUUGUUUUUUUGUUGUUUUUUAUGUUUUAUAUUCAUAUAUUUAUGCAUUCGGUUUUUACUUCACGUUUCCUUUGCUUGUACGAAAAAUGUCUGUUCUGUGUGUGUUUUUUGGACUCGUUGGGAAGGGGGGGGCUAGGGGCAAGGGUAAGGGAGAGGGAGAGAGUAUGGGGCUAGUAUUUGUGGUUGGGGAGGGUCUGGAAAAGCCACAUUAAUUUAUGUAUGAUUUGUUGUAGUAUGGUAAUCGUAUGUUUAAAUGUUACACAUGCAUUGUUUGUUACGUUAUUCGUAUGGUAAGAGAGUUUUAAUGGCGCUUUAACUGCCGAAUUCUGUUCUUCCUCAGUGGUGCACUUUCAGCAAUGAAUGUUCCUCCGGUUCAGUGUUGGGCAACGCAUACCCCAGGGCUGCACACUGCACUUAACGGUCUACAUAUAAGUUUUUUUUUUGUAUGUUAUGUAUGAUGUAGUAUGAUAGGAUUUUCGAAACAUGAAAAGCAAUGCGCACAAAAAAAAAUAGAAGAGAUGUAUAGAAAAAGAGAUGGAGAGAGAGCGAGCGAAUGUGUGAUUAUGAUCAAGAUCCUAUACCCUAUACAUAGACAU